GAUGAAGGCCAGUCUGAAGGGCUUGCCCGACGAGCCGAGAGGUAGUGCAUGGCCGCCGUCAGCUCGUGCCGUAAGGUGUCCAGCUAAGUCUGGUAACGAGCGAGACCUGCGCCCACAGUUGCUAACGAGACAUGUCGAUCGAGCACACUGUGGGGACUGCUCCCGUAAGGGAGACGAAGGUGCAGGCUACGGUAGGUCUGUAUGCUCCGAAUCCACUAGGCUACACGCGCGCAACAAUGGCUGUGACAAUGGGAUGCGACACCGAGAGGUGAAGCUAAUCCUCUAAACGCAGUCUUAGUACGGAUCGAGGCUUGCAACCCAGCCUCGUGCCGCUGGAAUCCCUAGUAAUCCGCUUUCAUCAUAUGCGGGUGAAUAUGUCCCUGCUCCUUGCACACACCGCCCGUCAAACCAACCGAGCAGGGUCGAGGUGAAGUCACGCUUCUUGGCAUGACUGAAUCUCAGCUCAGUGAGGUGGGUUAAGUCGUAACAAGGUA
RNAcentral lists this ribosomal RNA (494 nucleotides) under uncultured archaeon. RNAcentral's name for it is "bacterial SSU rRNA". It matches the Rfam family "Archaeal small subunit ribosomal RNA", at positions 946 to 1445 of the family's 1478-position model. The record is from RNAcentral.